AGGCCCUUAGCUCAAUUGGUAGAGCACCUGACUCUUAAUCAGGGUGCUGUGGGUUCGAGUCCCACAGGGCCUA
RNAcentral lists this transfer RNA (73 nucleotides) under Thermaerobacter marianensis DSM 12885. RNAcentral describes it as "tRNA-Lys (CTT) (tRNA-Lys-CTT-1-1)". It matches the Rfam family "tRNA". Rfam says of the family: Transfer RNA (tRNA) molecules are approximately 80 nucleotides in length. Their secondary structure includes four short double-helical elements and three loops (D, anti-codon, and T loops). The record is from Rfam by way of RNAcentral. Lineage: Bacteria; Bacillati; Bacillota; Clostridia; Eubacteriales; Clostridiales Family XVII. Incertae Sedis.